GGGGAAUAUUGCACAAUGGGCGAAAGCCUGAUGCAGCCAAGUAGCAUGCAGGACGACGGCCCUAUGGGUUGUAAACUGCUUUUAUACGGGGAUAAAACGCGGGACGUGUCCCGCCUUGCAGGUACCGCAUGAAUAAGGACCGGCUAAUUCCGUGCCAGCAGCCGCGGUAAUACGGAAGGUCCGGGCGUUAUCCGGAUUUAUUGGGUUUAAAGGGAGCGUAGGCCGCUUUGUAAGCGUGUUGUGAAAUUUGCCGGCUCAACCGGUAACUUGCAGCGCGAACUGCAGAGCUUGAGUGUGCGCAACGUUGGCGGAAUUCGUCGUGUAGCGGUGAAAUGCUUAGAUAUGACGAAGAACUCCGAUUGCGAAGGCAGCUGACGGGAGCACCACUGACGCUGAAGCUCGAAAGUGCGGGUAUCGAAC
Molecule: ribosomal RNA, 420 nt
Filed under: uncultured bacterium
Lineage: Bacteria
Description: bacterial SSU rRNA
Rfam family: Bacterial small subunit ribosomal RNA
Source: RNAcentral